GGGCGAAUAGCUCAGCUGGAUAGAGCGCUCGCCUCACACGCGAGAGGUCACAGGUUCAAUCCCUGUUUCGCCCACCA
This 77-nucleotide transfer RNA is filed under the name Candidatus Latescibacterota bacterium. RNAcentral's name for it is "Candidatus Latescibacteria bacterium tRNA-Val". It matches the Rfam family "tRNA". Rfam says of the family: Transfer RNA (tRNA) molecules are approximately 80 nucleotides in length. Their secondary structure includes four short double-helical elements and three loops (D, anti-codon, and T loops). The record is from RNAcentral. Lineage: Bacteria; Pseudomonadati; Candidatus Latescibacterota.